Molecule: ribosomal RNA, 465 nt
Filed under: Vreelandella stevensii
Lineage: Bacteria; Pseudomonadati; Pseudomonadota; Gammaproteobacteria; Oceanospirillales; Halomonadaceae
Description: partial 16S ribosomal RNA
Rfam family: Bacterial small subunit ribosomal RNA
Source: RNAcentral
CCUACGCGCUGCAGCAGUGGGGAAUAUUGGACAAUGGGCGAAAGCCUGAUCCAGCCAUGCCGCGUGUGUGAAGAAGGCCUUCGGGUUGUAAAGCACUUUCAGUGGGGAAGAAAGCCUUGGGGCUAAUACCCUCGAGGAAGGACAUCACCCACAGAAGAAGCACCGGCUAACUCCGUGCCAGCAGCCGCGGUAAUACGGAGGGUGCGAGCGUUAAUCGGAAUUACUGGGCGUAAAGCGCGCGUAGGCGGUCUGAUAAGCCGGUUGUGAAAGCCCCGGGCUCAACCUGGGAACGGCAUCCGGAACUGUCAGGCUAGAGUGCAGGAGAGGAAGGUAGAAUUCCCGGUGUAGCGGUGAAAUGCGUAGAGAUCGGGAGGAAUACCAGUGGCGAAGGCGGCCUUCUGGACUGACACUGACGCUGAGGUGCGAAAGCGUGGGUAGCAAACAGGAUUAGAUACCCGAGUAGUC